CCUACGGGGUGCAGCAGUGGGGAAUAUUGCGCAAUGGGCGGAAGCCUGACGCAGCGACGCCGCGUGAGGGAUGAAGGUCUUCGGAUCGUAAACCUCUGUCAGCAGGGAAGAACGGUAACUGUGCUAAUCAGCAGUGAAUUGACGGUACAUGCAAAGGAAGCACCGGCUAACUCCGUGCCAGCAGCCGCGGUAAUACGGAGGGUGAGAGCGUUGAUCGGAAUUACUGGGCGUAAAGCGGUCGUAGGCGGUAUGUAAAGGCAAGGGGGAAGGCCCCGCGCUAAACGUGUGAACUGCCUUUGAAACUGGCAGACUGGAGUGUGUGAGAGGAUAGUGGAAUUCCAGGUGUAGGAGUGA
Molecule: ribosomal RNA, 354 nt
Filed under: uncultured bacterium
Lineage: Bacteria
Description: partial 16S ribosomal RNA
Rfam family: Bacterial small subunit ribosomal RNA
Source: RNAcentral